This 1698-nucleotide long non-coding RNA is filed under the name Anas platyrhynchos platyrhynchos (common mallard). RNAcentral describes it as "lncRNA (ENSAPLG00000021669.1)". Lineage: Eukaryota; Metazoa; Chordata; Aves; Anseriformes; Anatidae. The record is from RNAcentral.
CCAAAAUGUGCCUGUACACGGCCCCCCGCGCCGGGGACAGCCCCCGGGGGUCCGGAGCCCUGGGCAGGGUGGUGCAGGAGGUGCUGGAGAGGGCCAGGGAGGAGAGGUUUCGCUUCGACCCCCCCGAUGGGGAGGGUGGGGAAAGGGACAUCGCUGGGGUGCCCCUGGGGACGUCACCGCACGGAGCCCGGGGGUCUCCGCAGGCACCCCCGUGGCCGGAGGGGGGUGUCCCCGAGUGUCACCAGCAGCCGGGGCUGUCCCCAAGGCUGUCCCCAGAGGGGAUGGACACUGCCGAGGAGCGUCCCCGCUGCCUGAGCCCUUCGCUGGGGGGUCUGCCGUGGGCUGGGGGUGCUCCGUGCCCCGUGGGGACAGGACAGGGUGGCACCGAGGAUGGGCAGCCGUGGGGGGACCUCACCUUGUCCCCAGCUCCGUGCGCCACGGCCACCGGUGGCGGGUGGGUGUGCGCCACUCCCGAGCAGCCGGGAGCCGAGGGGGACUCCGGGUUUGGCUCCAGCCCCUGGGGGUCCUCCCCCGGGGGGGGGAAGGAAGGGGCUGAGCCCCCCGGUGAGCCCCUGGACUCCUGUGGGGCAUCGUCCCCGUGGUCCCACCAGCCGAGAGAUGGAGGCCAACGGGCCCGGCGGAGCAGGGGACGGCACCGGGGGGGUGACCCGAGGGACAGCAGCCGGUGGCAGGGGGACGCACGGGGGCUGCACCCCCAAGGGAAGGCUCCGGCACUGGGGGGGGCUCUCCCCCCAUCACCCCAGCUGGGCAGAGACGCGCAGCGGAGAGGCCCCGGACUCCUUCGAGAUGGAAGAGGUGAGGGGCAGCGGGGGGCUGGGGAGGGGGGGCGAGGGGGCGGCGGUUUAAGGGAUGAAGGAUUUGGAGCCUCUUGCACGAGGGAGGAUCCUUGCACGCCCACAGCCACGCUCGUGCACGGAGGCAUCUUGGUGCACACUCAGGAGCGUGCACAGCGUGCACGUGCAUGGAUGCACCUUGGCGUGGGUGCUCGUGCACGCACGGGGGCACCUUUGCACAAGCACCCGCGUGUGCUCACACGCACGCACGCCCUUGCACACGUGUCCCCAGCCCUCCCCUUUUUUGCACAACCUCCCCCCGUGCAGGUGCCGAGCGCCGGCGAGGACGACGGCGAUGCCCACGAGGAAACCGGCUGCUCCCUCCCUCCCUCCCUGCGGGUCCGGAGAAGCUUGAUGCUGCAGGGCUGCAGCGGCCACUCCGACAGCAGCGGCUUCGUGGAGGAGCCGCUGCCCGAGCAGACGCCGUGAGACCCCCGAGGGACCCCCUGCUCGCCCCCACCGCGGUGCCAGCACCGGCUGGAAGCCGCCGAGGGGUGCACGAGGGAUUUUGCCCCCCCCCAUCCCAGCGUUUCAGACCCCGGAGCCCGUCCUCAGCCGAGAGCUGAGCACCGCAUGGAGCCGUGGGUCUGGGUGUGAGCGUGCGUGCACGUGUGUGUGUGUGUGUGUGUGCGUGUGCUGCACCAGGAACCUCUCAACUCAGGACUUUUACCCCCAAAACCACCAGCAUCCCCCCCCCCCCCCACCCCCCUUCGCCCUGUUUUUGUUUUCAGGGCUUCACUAGCACUUUGGAAACGCUCUGCUCCCCGGGCGCGUGUAACACUAGGACGGGGUUUUUCGGGGCAGAGCCCACAGCACACUGGAAAUAAAAUUCCCCAAGGGAUCA